RNAcentral lists this non-coding RNA (121 nucleotides) under Halomonadaceae bacterium. RNAcentral describes it as "TPP sequence". It matches the Rfam family "TPP riboswitch aptamer (THI element)". Rfam says of the family: Vitamin B(1) in its active form thiamin pyrophosphate (TPP) is an essential coenzyme that is synthesised by coupling of pyrimidine and thiazole moieties in bacteria. The previously detected thiamin-regulatory element, thi box was extended, resulting in a new, highly conserved RNA secondary structure, the THI element, which is widely distributed in eubacteria and also occurs in some archaea. The record is from RNAcentral. Lineage: Bacteria; Pseudomonadati; Pseudomonadota; Gammaproteobacteria; Oceanospirillales; Halomonadaceae.
CAACGCUUGACGGGGUGCCGGUGGAACCGGCUGAGAUCACCCUAUGCCCACGGGCAUCACGGUGGAUCCCGAUGAACCUGAUCCGGCUAGUACCGGCGUAGGGAUCAAGCGAAGGAUCCGC